GACGAACGCUGGCGGCGUGCUUAACACAUGCAAGUCGAACGGAAAGGCCCUGCUUUUGUGGGGUGCUCGAGUGGCGAACGGGUGAGUAACACGUGAGUAACCUGCCCUUGACUUUGGGAUAACUUCAGGAAACUGGGGCUAAUACCGGAUAUGAGCUCCUGCUGCAUGGUGGGGGUUGGAAAGUUUCGGCGGUUGGGGAUGGACUCGCGGCUGAUCAGCUUGUUGGUGGGGUAGUGGCUUACCAAGGCUUUGACGGGUAGCCGGCCUGAGAGGGUGACCGGCGACAUGGGGACUGAGAUACGGCCCAGACUCCUACGGGAGGCAGCAGUGGGGAGUAUUGCACAAUGGGCGGAAGCCUGAUGCAGCAACGCCGCGUGCGGGAUGACGGCCUUCGGGUUGUAAACCGCUUUCGCCUGUGACGAAGCGUGAGUGACGGUAAUGGGUAAAGAAGCACCGGCUAACUACGUG
RNAcentral lists this ribosomal RNA (468 nucleotides) under uncultured bacterium. RNAcentral describes it as "partial 16S ribosomal RNA". It matches the Rfam family "Bacterial small subunit ribosomal RNA", at positions 28 to 507 of the family's 1533-position model. The record is from RNAcentral.